UUCCUAAUUCUGUGAUCUUGGGUGAAUUUCUUUACCUCUGUGUGCUUCAUUCCCUUUAUUUGUAAAUUGGGGUCAUAAUUAGGACCACUUGUUCUGAGAAAGAAAUGAAGCAAAAGAUGUGACGUGCUCAAAAGAGUGCUUACUUUGUCAUUAUAGGGAAAUUACGGUUGCAGGCUAGUAGACAUUGGUGAUGGGGAAUGAAGGAAUAUCCAGCCAUAGGCCGUAGAAACCUCUAGUACAGACAUUAAUUAUUCAGUGGCUGGAUAUUUUGCCUUUCUAUGGAGGGUUAUUGAUCUAAAGCAGAAUACCCCAAGUAUUAGAGGGAAAAUUCCCUCGACCUUGCUAUAAAUACAUGAACAUAACAAUUAGCCAAAGAAAGUAGAUGUGCAAAUAGUGGCCGUCCAUCUUGGGCAGCUCUAUCAGGAGCAUGGUUUUCAUUAAUUCUCUAAAUAACCCAAAUCAAAACAUUUCAUUCUUCAUAGAUGCAUAUAAGAGCCCAUAGUGACUGAAUUGAAUUACACUUGUUUUAUAAUAUAGUGUUCCGAUGUGUAACAGACUAUCAAAGGAAAGAUCUUUACAAGGAAAACUUUAGAAUAUUGUUCAGAUACUCAGUGCAUGACCUAUUUAAACAGCUCAGAUUCUUCUUGUUGUAGACUGCAUAAUUAAAUUUUAAAUGGAACAUGAUAAAGAAAUUAUACUGGUGAUCUCCAGAGAUUUUGAGACCCUAUUUGGCUCUUUAUAAGAGUAUAGCAAAGGCAUACUUUAAAAUUUAAUAAAGGCCUGCCCUAAUUUUUUUUUCCCCUCUUAGAUUUUUCUUUAUCUGCUCAGGAAUUCAAAGCUAUGUUAUGUUAUCCACAAGUGUUACCUGCAAUAAAUGACCAAAAUAAAAAUUCUUAAAAGCCCAUUUAUCCCAAUUUGAGAAUUCCAUUAUGUGUGCACCAGAGCUUUUGUGUAGCCAUUGAACUCCUUGAAGAUAAAACCUGCCAUUUCCUGAGUUUGUCACUAUAGAGAACUGGGGUUUUAUUCAUUCUGUUUGUGGAAGCAUUCAUAUCUUUAGAGCUUCUGGAGCAAAGGGGUAGAAAAUGGGUUCUGUGAAAGAUAUAAUUUUGCAAUUAGAAUUCCUUAUUUGCUCUGUAGAAGUUGCCCUUCUUGAAAGGGUUAAAGGAAACACACACACACACACACACACACACACACACACACACACAGAGCCUGUUGGAAGAAGAGCUAAUGCAGAGUAAGAGAAAAUUCUUAGGUGGAACAUCCUCAGAGGUAUUGGAGCCUCUUGGGUAAAGAAUUUUGUUUCAUAACCUUCCAUCAUUCAUUAUCUUUUGUAUUUAAAGAAAUGCUGCCAAGAUAAAAGUAUAUGUUAAAUAAUUUUUUCUCAUAUUUACUUAAAACUGUCUUGUUGUAUAAAGCACCUUAGGAGAAAGGCUUCUGUCUUCCUUGAAGGAUUUCAGAUGUUGCUGUCCACUGAGCUUUGACAAAACACCAGGUGGGAGCGUUUCUCUUCCCACGCAGGGUUGGUUUGGUUUUCAUUAUACCUUAAACAGUUGCCUCUGUCAGCGUUUGGAAUGUUCAAGCUACCGAGAUCCUGCAAAUUAAUAAAAUUCAUUCUCAUUUAUCCCUACAUAUUUUUAAACCCUGUAAACCUUUCUUUUCAGAUUAGGUUUUGUAAAUGUGUCUAUUAUGUAUUUCCCUUUGCCUUCUUUCUGGCAAAUACACAGCUUUCCUUUGGGCCCAAGUCACUCAAGCAUCCGAUGUUGUUUUCAGGUUUUCAAAUAAGCAAUAUUAAACUCACAUAACACUAUAUAAAACCAAACUGGGGCAGUGACACAAGCCAGCAGAGAAAAUAAAUUCACCGUUUAGCCUGACUGUUCAUCCUUAACCCUGUCGUUGUCAUGCUUUUGGUGGGGGAGGAAGGAUGAAGCUCAGGGAGUAAUGCUGAGCUCCAGAAAGGAUGCUAAAGAGAAAUCCAUACUGGGAGCUUGAUUAUCCAGUGUGUGGGCAGGAAUUCUGCUUUCCUGACACACUGCCACGAACGAGACCCUCCCUCUGCCAGAUUCAGGCCUGUGGAACUCAGGGAGCAUCUAUAAGAGUGACACCUGGUGGCUGGUCACUCAUUGUAAUGUGCCAGGUUCCCCUUCCAAAGCAAAGGGGGGGGGGUCAUUCCCAAAUUAGGCUUUCAUGCCAUAGGUUUCUGUGGAUGGUGCACGAUUAAAAAAACAAAAGCAUACAUUUAAGUGAAUAAUAAAGAUGCUUAUGGACAUAAUAAAUAAUGGAAGUUUAAAAUUAAUCUGUUGACUCAGAGAGGACAGACUUGUGCCUGCCAAGGAGGGGGUGGAGGAGGGUUGGAUUGGAAGUUUGGGAUUAGCCAAUGCCAACUAUUACUUAUAGGAUGGAUAAAGAGCCAGGACCUACUGUAUACCACAGGGAACUACACUCAGUAUCCUGCUGUAAACCAUAAUGGAAAAAAAUAUGAAAAAGGACAUUUAUACAUAUGCAUGUAUGUAUAUCUGAAUCACUUUGCUGUUCAGUAGAAACUAACACUGUACCUCAAUGAAAUAAAUUUAAAAAAAUUAAUCUGUUGAUAUGAACAACAUCAUUGCCAGUUGACUCACAGAGCACUUACAUGAGCAAGGAGAUGUAUAAGGGCCCAUGGACGGUGCAAGGUAUGAUGAGCCUUCCUUUUAAGGACCAACAGUCUAAAGGCAGAAAUCUGAUUUGUGGUGGGAGGAAGUCUGUUCCUGACUAGCUCUCAGAGCCUAGGACAACAUCAGUCACAUGAUGAGAUGAAAACAUUUCUAUUGAGUCCAUUAAAAUCAUAUACAUUGACCAACCCUUUAAGUUCGGAGGGGAGAGAGACAACGUUUUUUGGUAGGCCAAUUCGAAAAAUAUCACCACAGUGGAUUCAGAUCUUUUGGGAAAAGAAAUGGCAGGGACAAAGCAAAGAGCAAGGAAAAUGGAGUUUUGAAAUAGGGAUUCAGCCAGCUGGAUUCAGCCAGAUGGUUUGUUGAGAAAAUAAUGAAAUAUGAGAUUAGAAAUGUAGGUGGAAGCCAGCUUGCACGUCUUAAAGGGAUAGAAGAGUUUCCUUUGGGUUUGCUUUUCUUUUCUCAGUAGGCCGUUGGAGGUGUUGGACAAGGAUGAAUGUUCGAUUCAAAGAGUGUGUGAGCAAGGGGAUUCUGAUGGUCUCCUGCGAAAUGCAUUAUUCCAGAAAGAGCGACACCGACCCAUCCAGUCCGUGAGGAGUAGGACCAAGUCCAUGUUACUCACCUCUUUUAUCCUCAGCACCUAGGAUGAAGCACAAACUGGGAAACAAGGAUUUCCCGGAGAGUUCAAAUGAGGAUGGGAAAUGCAUGAACUAGAUUGGUCUUUGUAGAAAGAAAAUAAAGCAAGAGUCAGAGUUCCUGUCAUGGCCCAGCAGUUAGCAAACCCGACUAGCAUCCAUGAGGACACGGGUUCGAUCCCUGGCAUUGCCAUGAGCUGUGGUAUAGGUCACAGAUGCGGCUCAGAUCUGAUGUUGCUGUGGCUGUGGCUGUGGCUGGCAGCUGUAGCUCCAAUUGGACCCCUAGCCUGGGAACCUCCAUGUGCCGCAGGUACAGCCCUAAAAAGACAAAUAUAUAUAUAUAUUGGGGAAAAAAAAAAAAA
This 3648-nucleotide long non-coding RNA is filed under the name Sus scrofa (pig). Its description in RNAcentral is "lncRNA (ENSSSCG00015037511.1)". The record is from RNAcentral. Lineage: Eukaryota; Metazoa; Chordata; Mammalia; Artiodactyla; Suidae.